GACGAACGCUGGCGGCGUGCUUAACACAUGCAAGUCGAACGAAGAGCGAUGGAAGCUUGCUUCUAUCAAUCUUAGUGGCGAACGGGUGAGUAACGCGUAAUCAACCUGCCCUUCAGAGGGGGACAACAGUUGGAAACGACUGCUAAUACCGCAUACGAUCUGACCUCGGCAUCGGGGAUGGAUGAAAGGUGGCCUCUAUUUAUAAGCUAUCACUGAAGGAGGGGAUUGCGUCUGAUUAGCUAGUUGGAGGGGUAACAGCCCACCAAGGCGAUGAUCAGUAGCCGGUCUGAGAGGAUGAACGGCCACAUUGGGACUGAGACACGGCCCAGACUCCUACGGGAGGCAGCAGUGGGGAAUCUUCCGCAAUGGACGAAAGUCUGACGGAGCAACGCCGCGUGAGUGAUGACGGCCUUCGGGUUGUAAAGCUCUGUUAAUCGGGACGAAAGGCCUUCUUGCGAACAGUUAGAAGGAUGGACGUACCGGAAUAGAAGCC
Molecule: ribosomal RNA, 493 nt
Filed under: Veillonella dispar
Lineage: Bacteria; Bacillati; Bacillota; Negativicutes; Veillonellales; Veillonellaceae
Description: bacterial SSU rRNA
Rfam family: Bacterial small subunit ribosomal RNA
Source: RNAcentral